This 406-nucleotide ribosomal RNA is filed under the name uncultured bacterium. RNAcentral describes it as "partial 16S ribosomal RNA". It matches the Rfam family "Bacterial small subunit ribosomal RNA", at positions 30 to 526 of the family's 1533-position model. The record is from RNAcentral.
AUUGAACGCUGGCGGCAGGCCUAACACAUGCAAGUCGAGCGAGCGGCGGACGGGUGAGUAAUGUCUAGGAAACUGCCUGAUGGAGGGGGAUAACUACGGGAUACGGUAGCUAAUACCGCAUACCAUCAGAUGUGCCCAGAGGGGAUUAGCUAGUGGGGGGGGUAAUGGCUCCACUAGGCGACGAUCCCUAGCUGCUCUGAGAGGAGGACCAGCCACACUUGAACGUAGACACGGUCCAGACUCCUACGGGAGGCAGCAGUGGGGAAUAUUGCACAAUGGGCGCAAGCCUGAUGCAGCCAUGCCGCGUGUGUGAAGAAGGCCUUCGGGUUGUAAAGCACUUUCAGCGGGGAGGCGUUACCCGCAGAAGAAGCACCGGCUAACUCCGUGCCAGCAGCCGCGGUAAUAC